RNAcentral lists this ribosomal RNA (486 nucleotides) under uncultured bacterium. Its description in RNAcentral is "partial 16S ribosomal RNA". It matches the Rfam family "Bacterial small subunit ribosomal RNA", at positions 899 to 1397 of the family's 1533-position model. The record is from RNAcentral.
ACUCAAAUGAAUAGACGGGGACCCGCACAAGCGGUGGAGCGUGUUGUUUAAUUCGAUGGUAAGCGAAGAACCUUACCAGGGUUUGACAUCCCGAUAGCUUUUCUGUGAAAGCAGAAUUUCAUUUAGUUGGAUCGGUGACAGGUGUUGCAUGGCCGUCUUCAGCUCGUGUCGUGAGAUGUUGGGUUAAGUCCCGCAACGAGCGCAACCCUUAUGUUUAGUUGGAUUUUUCUAAACAGACUGCCUCGGUAACGGGGAGGAAGGAGGGGAUGAUGUCAGGUCAGUAUUACCCUUACACCCUGGGCUACAAACACGCUACAAUGGCCGGUACAAAGGGCAGCCAACCCGCGAGGGGGAGCAAAUCCCAUCAAAGCCGGUCUCAGUUCGGAUAGCAGGCUGAAACUCGCCUGCUUGAAGCUGGAAUCGCUAGUAACGGUAAGUCAGCACAUUACCGUGAAUACGUUCCCGGGUCUUGUACACACCGCCCGU